AUAACAGGCACUGCAAAGCACUGGGAAUAAAUCUGCUCCUCCGAGAGUCCGCCGGGGUGUUCAUCUCUCACCUUGUUUUUCCUUUGCUUAAUAAGGUACUGUGUGAGCUUAGAGUUGAGAUUUGACUUGCCUUUUUUUUUUUUCCUUAAUGUGACCCAGGCUGAAUGAAGUUUGAUGUUUUGAGGGAUUGCUUUUUUUUUUUUUUUUUUUUCAUUUAAAUGACAAGAACAACAGGAGAGAGCAAGAAGAUACCAACCAAGAAACUGGCGUUGCCCAUUGCUUUCCAGGAAGACCAGGAGGAUUUGUGCUCUCUAUCUGGACAGAUUCCCGAGCUAUCAGGAGGGGAGGUGUGCGGAGACCAGCCAGGAGCGCAGUGUGCCCAGCUCCACGUGCCUCCCACCGGCAGCUCUCGCCUGCCCAGGCACGCAUGGAGCACGCCGUGCUGCUUGAGAGUGUACGAAACCACCAGGCAUCAUUCCCUCUUCACGCGGGGAGAUGAAGCAGGAGGAGCUGCUCACCACGUAUAAAUGUCUGUAGAGCAAGAACUGCUAUUAGUGUGUCAGUUUUUGAAGUCUUGCUUUAAUCAGUGUGCUUUUGUAAGGGCCUCAGAAACUGCUCAUACUCUUGGCAUCUUCUGUUUUCCCUGCAUAGCAUGUUUAUAUCUACAAUUGUGGUUUUCUUUCUAGUCCUUUUUUUUUUUUUUUUAAUCAUCCCUCUGAGGACAACCCUUGAUACUUCUUGCCCUGAUGAUGCACUCAUCAUCUUAAAGCUGUGUAAAACAGAUCUAAAAGGCACCGUAUCAGGUCGUGUGUUUGUCCCGUUGGGUAGCUGCCUUGCUAACGCUGCUCGAAGUCAGCAGGCAGGUCGGUGUCAAAGAUAAAUUAAUAAGAUAAUUGACCACACAUUCAAAUUUUUUGGAGUCAUUCCACAUUUUAGAGUAGGCAUUUGAUCAGAUCUGCUAUUGUAGUUUGCAUUAUGUGUUUUACUCUUCCUAAUGCUACUCUUCAUGCAUCUAAGUCUGAUCAGCUUACUAGACACCAAUGUAAAUUGCUUGAGUUGGGUGAAUUUACUUCAGUUCUGCCUGACAAAUCAGACUGAGAGUGGUAUUCUCGCUAUUUUUAAAAUAUCUGGGAUAGGUAGAAAUAACUGGCAGCCCUUCAGUGUGUCUCCUUAAAAUUUCUCUUUGCUGCCAUCUCUUCCCUCCAACACCUAACAAAGCACCAUGUUCAGGUCAUCUUUCAGCCCCUUCUUCUCUCAGGUAUGUGACUGUUCUGUUUGCUGUCUGUGAAAUGGUUUGAGCUCAUCUAGGGAAGCCAAAGUAUUUUUAUCACAACUGUAGAUGUCUGAAUUCCAGCAAGGGUCUCAGUACUUUCCAGUACACUUGCAAAAAAAAAAAAAAGGGAGGGAUGGGAUGGCAGGAAGGAAGCUCCAUCACGGCCACCUUCCUUUUGUAUCUGCUCACACCACCCUAUGGUCACUCAGGCCCUGGCACCAACCUUUCAAACUGCUCCCAUCUGCUACUGCAAGCGAUGUGAGUGCUUGCAGGCACCGUGGUGUGCUUGCAUACCUGCUACCUGUCCUGUCCCAUGCCUGGGGGAUGCAUCCAGCGAGCAGUGUUCCUCUCUUGCUGUAUUCCAAACUCAGCUGGAUUUACCUAAGCCUGCUGUAUCUGCUGACACAGGUACGGUUGCCGGCAAUGUGGACAGCGGCAGGUAGACAGGUGCAAGUAUCGCAGAUUAGGAAAGCCGCUUUAAAUUUAAUAGCCGAACAGUUGGUUAGAGUUGAAACAAUCCCAACGGAAAUAAUCCUCCUGCAUGUAAACCAAGUCUACAAAGGAAAAUGCGAUGUCGCUGCCGGCGGCCCCGAUAAGGCAGGGCGAUGCUGAGGAUUUCUGGCCGAGCGCUGGUUUGCCAUGGAGGCUGCACGUCUGCAGCCAUGGCUGGGUCUGUCCCCUGAGCCCUGCUGAGGGGAGACCUCCGCCCGUGCCAGCAGCAAAGCCAAGACGCCGAGAACUUUUAUUCCCUGGAGCUGCUGAGAACCCAAGGUGCUUUGCAUUUCAUAAGAGCAAGGGUGUUAAUUGCUGGAUGCGUGCAUGUGUCUCUCCUGUCAGCAAGGGUCAGCUGCCCGUACCGUGGGCUUGUGCACCUACAGGCAUCCGAUGCUCUGCUAUCACCCCCUGAAAAUGAAAAAAUAAAAGCAGAGCUCGAAGCUUAGCUAGCUGUGGUUGGGGUGCCCCAGUUUGCUGGCAUGAGGUAAUGCUGACACCUUGUCAUUUGCAUGCAUGUUCUACUUUAUGAGGUGGUAAUGAGGCUUUGUACAGGCCUGGUGUCUCCUCUGCAGUUGUGUGUUUACCAUCACCCACAUCCUUGCUGCUUGUGAUUUGAAUGAGUAAUCCCUGAUGUUUGUUUCCAAGCAGGUGGCUCUGGCACACCCUGACUCCUGCAUUCAAAUACAAGAGAAAGGUGCAGGAAGGGGUGCCAUGACCUCAUUUCAUGGGGCAGGACGGGGCCAUCGCUCCACCAGGUAAAGGCACAAGUGGCACCACGUGAGCAUGUCUCUGGUUGCUGUAGAUGGAAGGGAUGCAUGCAACUGAAAAGAUGGAUUGCUAUGGGGCAAGCAGGUGCUCCCUAACCUUCAUUUUCACAUUAAAGACAGGUUCAGACUGAAACUCACAGCAUCAGAUUCUUGACAAACUGUUGGAAGUUCAGCCACCUGCCACAAAACAGCAUCUGGGCUUGAUGUUCCCAAAUAUUCACACCGUAAAACCUCUGCCUGUGUCACACAAAUACUAAAGCUAUGUGGCAAUGUCUGGCUGGAGCUGCGUGCGACCUUUGGACCAAUUCGGGCCCAAACUCUGCUGAGUCUCCCAAGCACACGAGUAGGUGACUGUGUGCUGUGAAGCUGAGCCGAGCUGCCCUGAGCAGGAGCAGGGCUGUGGGAUGCUCCCAGGUCUAACAGACGCACGUUCCUCCGAGCAAAAGGCUGCUCAGAGUACAGCGACCCAUGGCUGACCCUUCCAGACAUUGUCUCUGUGCUGCAUAUUCAUAGACUAAUGUUGUUUAGAGAUUGGCAAAGCUCAUUAAGUAACCUAAUUUUUACAGAUGCUUUUGGGCUGCUGCGGGUGGUACUAGUCAGUUGUUUUUUUUUUAUGAAUCGCUGUGUUACAUCCUCCCAUUCCUGCCAUGAAGCCUCCAUUUCAAAGGCCAGGCUCUCUGUGCUGCUCCGGGGGUUCCCUGUCUGCCUGGGAGAGGUGGCGACUCGGCAGCUUUUUGUCUGCUCUUUCAGCUGAGAAAAUGGAUGUGGACCUGCCACGGACACGCGCUGGAUUUUUCGUGGGGGAUGCUGUACCUGAGCCACACGGCAGGUUUAUGGAGGACCUAACUUAAGGAUCAUCGUGAAGCUUGGCAUUGUGCUAUGGAUUUGAUGAUUUUUCUGCUGGGUCGUUUUUCCUCCGUGGCUUCAUCAGCUUGCCAGGUGCAGGGUUUCGAGAAAGCAGGUAGAUGCAAAGCUGUUACAACACGCCGUGGAAGUGCGAUGGGAGGGAGACGCUUACUCACGGAGCCGUGCCGUGGGCUGGUGAUUCAGAUGCCUGCAUGCCAUCAGCCCCGCACCACGGGCUGUGCUGGGGAGGCACGAGCAGGAGGAGGGUGCUGCCGCUGCUGGUAGAGCUCACCCCUGGCACGAGGCAGUGGUGAAGUCAGGGCUGUAUUUGCACUGUCACGCGAUGCAAUUAGGAAAGAGCUGCUCCGUUGGUGGCUGCUGUCUGAACCGGCAAGCCGACAUCAGAAUUGAAACCAUCUCUGCGUGGGCAGAGAUGUUGACAGUGCCACUCGGUUGCCCAGUAGGUUCCUGAUUACAGAUUAAGCUGGUCUGAAGGGAAAAGGAAUACUGCUUGCCCUAAUGAAAAGAUACGGUUUGUGGGCGAGGAGAAGAAAACCAGAUCAUUGUUCAGAGGUUCUUUGCUGGACUGUGUCAGCUGGAAAAGCUUGGCUGCUGCUGCUAAGCCUUGACAGGCAUGUGGAGAUAAAUAGUGUGUAAGCCACUCUUCUUCCUCGUGUGAUCUUAGCUAACUGGCUUUUCCCUCAGCCUCCCUUUCUUUACCUAUAGCAUAUGCUAUGGCAGUUGAGGAAGUUGGUCAGUCAUUCCAGCAAAACAGUGUGGGAUUCUCAGCUAUUGCCGGUGUUUAGGCUGUGGUACUGGGGUUAUGUCUACAUGACCUCUUGCAGGUUCAAGACAGCCUUGACCCUGCUAACCCAGCAGCCCUGUUACAGCUCUGUUUCAUGGUGACUUGGCCAGCCUGUGGUCUGGUACCAGCCUAACUGCCCUUACCAACAGCUAUGCACAUCUUCCAGCAGCUCUGAGCACAAGGAUGUGGUUCAUACCAGCCACCAAAGCACGGUGAGCCCUUAAAAUCCAACACCCAGCAUGAAUCAGGCCCACGCACUAAAGCUGCACGGCUUUGAAAGAAGCAGUGCUUCUGCUCAGCUGUGAGCACGGGCUUUGUGCUCGGGAUCGUUCCAGAAACUGAUUAACUAUCAGAGCUUUUCAAAGCAGCUCAACAUCUCACUUGGUUUUAGAAUUCCACAUUUGAAGAACAAAGGUCUGUAUAGAGAUGAAGUGCGAUGAGGGAGAGAAUGUGAAAUGAAACUGCAUGCAAAGGGCAGAACAUUUGUCAGGGCUGCUCUGUAGAGCCAUUAGCACGGCCACCAAGCUCCAUUUACCUGUCUGGGACACGGGAGCAGUUGCUGGGCCUGUCUGAAUGUACUAGAGAUUAGCAGGGCAGGAAAACACCUGCUUCCACUUAACUGAUCCGAGAGGAAACAAAGGGCAAGAAAAGCUACGGCCUGAGCAACGCAGGAUUGGAUGAAAGCUAAUAUGCAGCUUCAGAUUGGCAGUUGGCAGCCAUAACCCUCAAUUUAAAGCAGCUGAGAGCCCCAGCUCUUUAGAUCUGAAAUCUUGCUGCUAUGAAGAUGAAAGACUUUGUUUUCCCUCCUUUUUUUUUUUUUUUUUUUUUUUUCCCUUUUUUUCUUUUUCUUUUCAUUCAACUGUGGCCAAAUGGGGAGUAGGCAGAUGGGAGUCCAGGCAAACCCAGGUGCUGAGUUGCUGCACUUGAUAAUAGGCAGCGAGGAGUGGCAGGCAACCCUGCCAGAAGGAAAGGCAGAAAUGUUCAGAUCCUUGUGCAGGAGCUCAGGGAACCCCUUCAGUUUCCCUGGGGGGAAGAUGAGGUUGAUUGGGACUCACUGAUGAGUACAGUAUAGGCUUCAGUGUAGAUGUGGGAUUGACAUUCUGGUGGUAAAGAAGGGAAUCUGGGGCUUCUCAUUGACUUUGUGUUUUGCUGCUUGGCGUCUCUGCAAGGAAGGCUUUGAGGAAGGCUUUUUAGGUUGGAUUCUCAAAAAUAAUUUAUUGAAUCAAAGAGCAUUGAAAAAGCGAGCAAAAAGGCUAGACAGUCCUUAUUUGAGGCUCAGCUCCAUGGCCUGGCUCUGUGAGCUGCGUUUCAUUCACAACACGGGCUCAGCAUCGUUUGAAGUAUGCUGUCAUUAGGCUCGUGUUUUAACUCUGUUUGCUUUGAUUGCAGCAGGAAUGCUUCUGCUGGCUGCUAACAAACUGGUUAUACCAGGGAUACCCACCACAACGCCGCAGACCAGGCCCCUUGAAGGCUGCUGUGCAGUGAUUAAAGGAAUGGCCCCUGGCCUCUCCUGGGGCUCUCUUCAGUGCCAGGUUCAAGGGUUUUUAUGGGUGUGCAAGGGAGGGUACCUUACCUUUCCCUUGUUCACCAGCGUGUGCCCUAUGGAAGCGUAAUUUAAGUCUGGCAAAUUGAAUGGUUGGCUCCAAGUUAGCAUGUUUGCAAAAAGGGAAAAACAGAAGGCAAGGUUUCUAAGAUUAUAAAACUUUCUUUCCCUGUUCAAAUAAGCAUGUGUUAGCCUGACUUGCCUGCCUACCACUUCGGUCAUCUUCAGAGCAGUAAAGAAACAGUGAAACGUACCCAUGACCUUACACAGCACCACUGGCAAAACGUGUUUUAGCUGCAGAGUGUUUGAUUGCAUGCAAGCUGUCCCUCCAGGUUGUUGUACCUCUCCGAAGGCUGCAAAGAGCAGUACGCUUCUCCCCUCCUCCUUUGCUUGCUUAACUUGUUAAGACAUGGAAGGUUACUCCUGCUAUGACUCCUAUUCCUGACCUGACAGGUGGUGCCUUGCACUGAACUUUGCUCUCACAAACGCAGUUGGGUUUCACGUAUCAGCCUCCACUUUAGUGGGCUCGCCCAUCUGCACAGAAUUUGGUAAUUCUAGCAAGGUGUGCUGCUGCAGCCGUCCCUGGUGCGGGGCUGGGGAGCGCUGCUGAGCGCUUGCUGCACAAACAAACAGGGGUUGGGGAUGCCACGCGUUUAAUCUCACGCCUGUAGCUCUGUACGUUGUGCAAUGAGCUGCUGAGCGCAGGUACGAAGAUGAAAGAGGUGGAGGUGAUGCAGGAAGCGAUACUGCUGUCUGCAGCCCGCAGAUGAAAGGAGUGAGCACCUUUAUGGAUCUGCCCCAGUGUGACCCCUCGGUGCAGAGCUGUGCUAGGAACAAAAGAGCUGUAAUAUUGGAUCAGAAGUCCAACGUGCUUGGCAGCCUGGUUUCCAGAACUACAUAAUAUGAACUUACUGGAAAAAAAAAAAAAAAAGAUAAAAAAGUGCUAAGAGGAAUGGCUGUGAGAUAGUUUGGUGAAAGGAAAUGUUUAUUUUUGACACAAGAAAUGCUACGUUUGAACUGUGUGGCAAGGAGCAUUUGCCUCGUUUCUUUCUUUAUCCCAUCUAAAACUGUGGGCGUGCCCCUAUAGCCAGGGUUAGUGUGUUUUCAUCUAUCUGAGCAUUUGCUUCCUACCAAAAUUUUGGUGUCAGUGACAUCCUGUGGUGUAGAGUUACAUUAAUUGGGAUGGUUUUGGGGGGCAAGAUACCUGUGUGCUUCAGUUUAUCUGCAUUUACCUGAGGAGGAAUUAUUAAUGUGAGGAUUUGGUUUGCUGCCAAGUGCUCGUGGCCCAGAUGUAGCCCAUUUGUUCUGAUAACAACAGAAAUGGACGUUGCAGUAGUAGGUGUAACAAGUUGCAUGUUAAUCUUGUUAAAUAUGAAAAUUAGGUAAUAAGGUUUUCUCUGGUGUACUUCAUGAAGAUUUAUAAAGUACAGAGCCAACAUCUUCAGCAUCCUAACAGUGUGCCAGGAAUUAAAUUUUAUUUCAAGGAUAGUUUAUAUCUCUAGUUACAAAUAAAUAAAUAAAAUGGGCAAGUGUUUGUCCAGUCUAGUGGUGUUACGUUGUGUGCUGGGUUUUGCUGCUGUGAUAGGGUCAAGCUUAUAAGAGCAGGAGGAAGCAUUUGCAUCCCUGGAGCACAAAGAAGGGGUUUUUGUAUGUAUGGACUGCAGACGUGGGGAAAAUGCUAUUUGCACAAGCUCCAAAUUAGUUAAUUUAUCUGUGUAGCAGUUUUGGACCUGCAUUUGAAUCUCUCAGAGUCUGACAUGGGGUACAUGCUGCUGAGCUAGUUUUCUGGCCAAUGGAAUGAUGGAAAUCUCUCAGCAGCUUGCUUUCAAAGAUCAUAAAGCCCUUGAGAAGCCUCACCUCAGCAUACAGGGGAAAAGACUCGUUUACUAUUGCUGCAUUAGAAGAGAAUAUGAGAGGCUCAACAAGCCAGAUUGUUAUAUAGCACCAGCAGGUCCUGUAUGGCUUAGUCCUCUGCUGCAUUAUACGUAUGCCACAAAAUGUUGCUUCUGCUUAAUGUUAUAAAUCAUUUAUUGAGGACUUGUGCACUUCUGAGUCCAGCUGAUACAGGACUAUUUCUGAUCUAAACAGGCUGUUAACUUUUGAAGAAUAUAAGUGAAAAUUGUUUUUAAUUUCACAGUCUUAUGUGGCAACAUCGUCCACUGGCUGUCAGUGGUUUUACUGGCUGAAAUAGGAAGGUAAGGGAAAUCAGAGCAGUGGGCUGGAAUGUAAUAGCUUGGAUGUUCUGGCUCUACAACAGAUUUUUCUGUAUGAUUUCAAGCAAGUCACUUCAGUUUUCCUAAUCUCUCUGGUUCAAUUCCUCCGAUAUAAAACAACAUUCUUUACAGAUAUCUUGAACAUCACGACUUUUGUAAGGUGUGCAGACAGUGCAGAUGGGCUGAAAGAUAUCCAAGACACUAAGCCCAGACUCGUUCCACAGACAGAUCAGUGGUCAGUUGCGUUACCAUAUGUGAGGUUUUCAAGGGGAAUCUUUUAGAGAUGUCAAAGAAUUUUGUAAACCAAAUUAGCAUAACUCUCUCAUUACAGAUGCUGGGUAAGUCUCCCUGAUUUGAAGCUUCUCCUAUGUUUGCAACAAGGUACAACAGCGACGUACAGAUUGGACUGAGAUGACAGAGACGUGUUUAGCGUUACCAUCAAGCAAGUAUGUCAUAUGUAAAUAGUCUUCGUUUGCAAACAAAUGGCCCUUGUGUACUAACCAAGGCCAGAGUGCAGUUUAUUGCAGAUAAUAAGUAAUUUCUUGUUGUGAUAACAGAGAGGUUCAUUUGCAGUCAUUUCUCGUCUUUUUCUGUGGAAAGAUAUGGUUGCCUUAUUCCAUCACAAAACUCAGUUCUCUGUGUUGCCUGUCAAGGCCAGCUAGAAGCCAGCUAUAGGUGAAACAGUUCAGAAAAAAACAGCUG
This is a long non-coding RNA of Oxyura jamaicensis (ruddy duck), 8644 nucleotides long. RefSeq lists it as uncharacterized. NCBI's taxonomy places the organism in Eukaryota, Metazoa, Chordata, Aves, Anseriformes, Anatidae. The transcript has 4 exons. The record is from RefSeq and is a predicted model, not a curated record.